UACGGAGGGGACGAGCGUUAUCCGUCAUGACUGGGCGUAAAGAGUUUGUAGGUUGUGCUAGUGUCUUUUUAGUUUAUUUUAUAAUGGAAAUUUUAAAAAGGCUUUGAGUAAGACACUUUUACUGGAGUAUAAGAGAGGUUGGUGGAAUUUCAUAUGUAGAGUUAAAAUCCUAUAACAUAUGAAAGAAUGCUAGAGGCAAAGGCGCCUUUCCUGCUUAUACUGACACUGAGAAACGAAAGCAUGGGGAGCAAACAGGAUUAGAAACCCUGGUAGU
RNAcentral lists this ribosomal RNA (274 nucleotides) under uncultured bacterium. Its description in RNAcentral is "partial 16S ribosomal RNA". It matches the Rfam family "Bacterial small subunit ribosomal RNA", at positions 524 to 794 of the family's 1533-position model. The record is from RNAcentral.